GACGAACGCUGGCGGCGUGCCUAACACAUGCAAGUCGAACGGAAAGGCCCUGCUUUUGUGGUCUGCUCGAGUGGCGAACGGGUGAGUAACACGUGUGUAACCUGCCCUUGACUUUGGGAUAACUUCAGGAAACUGGGGCUAAUACCGGAUAGGAUCUGCUGCUGCAUGGAGGGGGUUGGAAAGUUGCGGCGGUUGGGGAUGGACUGGCGGCUUAUCGGCUUGUUGGUGGGGGAGUGGCUCACCAAGGCGUUGACGGGUAGCCGGCAUGUGAGGGGGACCGGCGACACUGGAACUGAGACAGGGUCCAGACUCCUACGGGAGGCAGCAGUGGGGAAUAUUGGACAAGGGGGGCAAGCCUGACGCAGCCAUACGGGGUGGGUGAAGAAGGCCUUGGGGUGGUAAAGCCCUUUUGUUGGGAAAGAAAAGCAGCAGGUUAAUACCCCGAUGUUCUGACGGUACCCAAAGAAUAAGCACCGGCUAACUUCGUG
Molecule: ribosomal RNA, 488 nt
Filed under: uncultured bacterium
Lineage: Bacteria
Description: partial 16S ribosomal RNA
Rfam family: Bacterial small subunit ribosomal RNA
Source: RNAcentral